Molecule: ribosomal RNA, 880 nt
Filed under: Aquihelicascus songkhlaensis
Lineage: Eukaryota; Fungi; Ascomycota; Dothideomycetes; Pleosporales; Morosphaeriaceae
Description: Dothideomycetes sp. WD-2020g partial large subunit ribosomal RNA
Rfam family: Eukaryotic large subunit ribosomal RNA
Source: RNAcentral
AACCAACAGGGAUUGCCCUAGUAACGGCGAGUGAAGCGGCAACAGCUCAAAUUUGAAAUCUGGCUCUCUUGCGGGGUCCGAGUUGUAAUUUGUAGAGGGCGCUUUGGCACUGAUGGCGGUCUAAGUUCCUUGGAACAGGACAUCACAGAGGGUGAGAAUCCCGUACGUGGUCGCUAAUCUUUUGCUGUGUAAAGCCCCUUCAACGAGUCGAGUUGUUUGGGAAUGCAGCUCUAAAUGGGAGGUAAAUUUCUUCUAAAGCUAAAUAUUGGCCAGAGACCGAUAGCGCACAAGUAGAGUGAUCGAAAGAUGAAAAGCACUUUGGAAAGAGAGUCAAAAAGCACGUGAAAUUGUUGAAAGGGAAGCGCUUGCCGCCAGACUUGCCUGUAGUUGCUCACCUAGGCGUUAAGCCUGGGGCACUCUUCUGCAGGCAGGCCAGCAUCAGUUUGGGCAGCCGGAUAAAGGUCUCUGACACGUUCCAUCCUUCGUAGAUGGCCAUAUAGGGGAGACGUCAUGCGGUUAGCCUGGACUGAGGUCCGCGCAUUGCUAGGAUGCUGGCGUAAUGGCUGCAAGCGGCCCGUCUUGAAACACGGACCAAGGAGUCUAACAUCUAUGCGAGUGUUUGGGUGUCAAGCCCGAGCGCGCAAUAAACGUGAACGGAGGUGGGAACCCUCUUUGGAGGGGGUGCACUAUCGACCGAUCCUGAUGUCUUCGGAUGGAUUUGAGUAAGAGCAUAGCUGUUGGGACCCGAAAGAUGGUGAACUAUGCUUGAAUAGGGUGAAGCCAGAGGAAACUCUGGUGGAGGCUCGCAGCGGUUCUGACGUGCAAAUCGAUCGUCAAAUUUGGGCAUAGGGGCGAAAGACUAAUCGAACUAUCUAGUAGC